RNAcentral lists this ribosomal RNA (441 nucleotides) under uncultured bacterium. Its description in RNAcentral is "partial 16S ribosomal RNA". It matches the Rfam family "Bacterial small subunit ribosomal RNA", at positions 338 to 795 of the family's 1533-position model. The record is from RNAcentral.
CCUAGGGCGGCAGCAGUGGGGGAUACUGCACAAUGGGGGAAACCCUGAUGCAGCGACGCCGCGUGGGCGAAGAAGUAUUUCGGUAUGUAAAGCCCUAUCAGCAGGGAAGAAGAAAUGACGGUACCUGAGUAAGAAGCACCGGCUAAAUACGUGCCAGCAGCCGGGGUAAUACGGAUGGUGCAAGCGUUAACCGGAUUUACUGGGUGUAAAGGGAGCGCAGGGGGCACGUCAAGCCUGAUGUGAAAGCCUGCGGCACAACCGCGGGACUGCAUUGGGAACUACCGGGCUGGAGUGCCGGAGAGGUAGGCGGAAUUCCUAGUGUAGCGGUGAAAUGCGUAGAUAUUAGGAGGAACACCAGUGGCGAAGGCGGCCUACUGGACGGUGACUGACGCUGAGGCUCGAAAGCGUGGGGAGCAAACAGGAUUAGAUACCCGGGUAGUC